Long non-coding RNA from Mus musculus (house mouse), 797 nucleotides. RefSeq annotates it as predicted gene, 46786. The transcript has 3 exons. NCBI's taxonomy places the organism in Eukaryota, Metazoa, Chordata, Mammalia, Rodentia, Muridae. The record is from RefSeq and is a predicted model, not a curated record.
CCCCCUAAUACUACACCAGAGAACUAGUGAUGGCAUGCUUUAUCUGCCUUAAUUAAACAAGUAACGUCUUCUUACUUAAACAAUACCAUGUAAUCACUGCAUGUUUAUGGGGAGAGAAUUUCUAAGACUGUGAUCUAUCUCCAUAUCGUCUUCCUGGUUUUUUUUUUCCCCUGGUUAUUUAAAAGACUACAUUUCCCAGAAGUCUCCACUAACAAUGUCCCCAAAGCAAGAGAGCUCUUCCACCCACACUACUCCCAUCUGGAAUGGUGUCAGUCAGUAAAGAAUUCUCCUGAGCCUCAGAAAGCAGCCUGGGCUUCAGCCAGCAAACUCUGAAACUGGGAACCAGCACGAGAAAUCUUCCAAACAACCCUUUCCGCUCUGCCUCGAGAUCCAGGAGAGGAGGCAUCUGAUGCUCAGUAUGUGUGGGGGAAUCAUUUUUCUUUUCAGAUCCUUCUCCAUUUUCUCACAGUUCCGUUCUCAGGCAACGCUGCAGUGGCUGUUGGAACAGCAGGAAAUGGCAGGUGGAAGAGGAGUUACUCCAUCGGAGUAGGUGUGGUCCUGAAGGAGGCGAACACCUGCUGGCUUUUGCCCCUUGAUGGUCCCACCCUUAGCUCCAGGGAAUAAAGACAAAAGGCACAGGAAGUCAGUAUUCUGCUAGCAGCCUUCAGAUGAAGAUAUAGAACUCUCAGCUCCUCCUGCACUAUGGCGGCCUGGAUGCUGCCACACUCCCACCUUGAUGAUAAUGGAAUGAACCUCUGAGCCUGUAAGCCAGCCCCAAUUAAAUGUUGUCCUUAUAA